RNAcentral lists this ribosomal RNA (490 nucleotides) under uncultured bacterium. Its description in RNAcentral is "partial 16S ribosomal RNA". It matches the Rfam family "Bacterial small subunit ribosomal RNA", at positions 30 to 507 of the family's 1533-position model. The record is from RNAcentral.
AUUGAACGCUGGCGGCAGGCCUAACACAUGCAAGUCGAACGGUAACAGGAAGACGCUUGCUUCUUUGCUGACGAGUGGCGGACGGGUGAGUAAUGUCUGGGAAACUGCCUGAUGGAGGGGGAUAACUACUUGAAACGGUAGCUAAUACCGCAUAAUGUCGCAAGACCAAAGAGGGGGACCUUCGGGCCUCUUGCCAUCGGAUGUGCCCAGAUGGGAUUAGCUAGUAGGUGGGGUAACGGCUCACCUAGGCGACGAUCCCUAGCUGGUCUGAGAGGAUGACCAGCCACACUGGAACUGAGACACGGUCCAGACUCCUACGGGAGGCAGCAGUGGGGAAUAUUGCACAAUGGGCGCAAGCCUGAUGCAGCUAUGCCGCGUGUAUGAAGAAGGCCUUCGGGUUGUAAAGUACUUUCAGCGGGGAGGAAGGGAGUAAAGUUAAUACCUUUGCUCAUUGACGUUACCCGCAGAAGAAGCACCGGCUAACUCCGUG